AGUGAACGCUGGCGGUAGGCCUAACACAUGCAAGUCGAACGGCAGCACAGUAAGAGCUUGCUCUUACGGGUGGCGAGUGGCGGACGGGUGAGGAAUACAUCGGAAUCUACUUUUUCGUGGGGGAUAACGUAGGGGAACUUACGCUAAUACCGCAUACGACCUACGGGUGAAAGCAGGGGAUCUUCGGACCUUGCGCGAGUGAAUGAGCCGAUGUCGGAUUAGCUAGUUGGCGGGGUAAAGGCCCACCAAGGCGACGAUCCGUAGCUGGUCUGAGAGGAUGAUCAGCCACACUGGAACUGAGACACGGUCCAGACUCCUACGGGAGGCAGCAGUGGGGAAUAUUGGACAAUGGGCGCAAGCCUGAUCCAGCCAUACCGCGUGGGUGAAGAAGGCCUUCGGGUUGUAAAGCCCUUUUGUUGGGAAAGAAAAGCAGCAGGUUAAUACCCCGCUGUUCUGACGGUACCAAAAGAAUAAGCACCGGCUAACUUCGUG
This 492-nucleotide ribosomal RNA is filed under the name uncultured bacterium. RNAcentral's name for it is "partial 16S ribosomal RNA". It matches the Rfam family "Bacterial small subunit ribosomal RNA", at positions 29 to 507 of the family's 1533-position model. The record is from RNAcentral.